UUUUAGUCGAGAGUUUGAUCCUGGCUCAGAAUCAACGCUGGCGGCGUGCCUCAGACAUGCAAGUCGAACGGUUAAGACUCCCUUCGGGGAGUGUAUAAAGUGGCG
Molecule: ribosomal RNA, 105 nt
Filed under: Acidobacteriota bacterium
Lineage: Bacteria; Pseudomonadati; Acidobacteriota
Description: Acidobacteria bacterium partial 16S ribosomal RNA
Rfam family: Bacterial small subunit ribosomal RNA
Source: RNAcentral